RNAcentral lists this long non-coding RNA (347 nucleotides) under Manihot esculenta (cassava). RNAcentral's name for it is "long non-coding RNA (MESC_LNC008307)". The record is from RNAcentral. Lineage: Eukaryota; Viridiplantae; Streptophyta; Magnoliopsida; Malpighiales; Euphorbiaceae.
CCUUUAGGCAUCUCCGGACCUUACGAGCACAACCCUCGCAAUGCAUGUAAACCUUUAGGAUAAUUUCUUGUGGAGGUGGAGGUGAUUCCUCUUUGGAUUCCUUUGAAUCAUCUGGUUUUUUCUCUUCUUUCUUUUCUUCUACUGGUGGUUUCUCUGCUGGCUUUUCCUCUUCUUUCUUUUCAGCCUUGUCUCCCUCAGGUUUCUUCGCUUCCUCGGGCUUCUUCUCCUCCAUAUUCUUCUCUUCUCCUGCGGGCUUUUUUUCCUCCUACACAGACGCAAACCCAAAAUCAGAAAACAAUAAAGGUUAAAACAAAAGGUAAAAAAUAUUCAUAGCAGAGCUUCAAGAC